UCACAAGUGCUCAUUAGUCAUUUCUUUGAGCCAACCAAAGUACAAAACUAACCCUUAUUCCCUCUUUCCUCACACACUACACAGUCAUUCUCAGAAGUCUCAAUAACCCAUUUUUUGUUGCAAAUUGAACGGUGUUCCCAAAAUGGGUCAAGUUCAAGUACCCUUUUAAAUUCUUCACUGUGUUUUCAACUUUCUUCUUUUUCAACUCCUUCCACCAUGUUCCUCUACAGAUUUCUCUCUUUGUUGGGAUUGUUACAUUUUCUUGGAAUGCACUUACCUCUUCUAAUGGCUG
This 292-nucleotide long non-coding RNA is filed under the name Trifolium pratense (red clover). RNAcentral's name for it is "long non-coding RNA (TPRA_LNC008262)". The record is from RNAcentral. Lineage: Eukaryota; Viridiplantae; Streptophyta; Magnoliopsida; Fabales; Fabaceae.